This 305-nucleotide ribosomal RNA is filed under the name uncultured bacterium. RNAcentral's name for it is "bacterial SSU rRNA". It matches the Rfam family "Bacterial small subunit ribosomal RNA", at positions 28 to 334 of the family's 1533-position model. The record is from RNAcentral.
GACGAACGCUGGCGGCGUGCCUAACACAUGCAAGUCGAACGGGGUAAUUCCUUCGGGGAUUACUUAGUGGCGAACGGGUGAGUAACGCGUGAGAAACCUGCCUUUCAGUGGGGGACAACAGUUGGGAACGACUGCUAAUACCGCAUAAUGUUAUUUGGGGGCAUCCCCGAAUAACCAAAGAUUUAUUGUUGAAAGAUGGUCUCACGUCUGAUUAGCUAGUGGGUGAGGUAACGGCUCACCAAGGCGACGAUCAGUAGCCGGUCUGAGAGGAUGAACGGCCACAUUGGGACUGAGACACGGCCCAA